Oncorhynchus nerka (sockeye salmon) is the source of this 1154-nucleotide long non-coding RNA. RefSeq lists it as uncharacterized. The transcript is spliced from 2 exons. Lineage: Eukaryota; Metazoa; Chordata; Actinopteri; Salmoniformes; Salmonidae. The record is from RefSeq and is a predicted model, not a curated record.
UGGCUGACUGGAUAAUGGGGAUCCACAGAAUGCUGAGCACCACCAUUACUAAGAUGAACACCCUGCAGGUGAUGACCACAAACAGGAGGUACUCUGGCAUAGUUACCACACCAGCAGAGAUGUAAACCGGCACAAAGAUCCAACCAAGAGCAAUGAGGACCCAAGCUGCCUGUGAAACAUGAAAGCUUAUUCUAAGCUGAAAUACUGUGGAUAGGUCUUCAUAAUAAAGGGUGUCCACCUCCUGAUGGAAAUAUUGACAAACUGUAAUAACUCGAUUAUCCUCUCCAUUGUUUAUCAUCUUGGUGUUUUUUCACAAUGCACUUAACAUAUUACUUACAUUCCAUUCAAACCCUCCAACAGCGAUGCCUCCUGCUGCUCCAGUGCCAGCUAGUCCGAUGAACAAACCACUGCCAACAUUACUGGACAUCAGAGAGGCCCCAAUCUGAGACAGCAGAACAAAAUUUACUUCAUUUUGUCCAUUUUUAUCUUUGGAUAUAGAUAGCUAUUAUCAGUAUCAACUAUUUUCAUCCAAUUAUUUAAUGUUAUAAAAGAAACAACUUUCCUAAUUUAAAACAGAUGAUAAUACUUAAUAGUCUGGAUCAUGAUUCACUUUUUAUCUAGUUGACAUAGUAAUUUCUUCACUAAUGUUCAGUUCAAUGCAUUGAGUUCAAUACCAUCAUAAUCUCAGGCUACUUACAGGCCACCAUGUCAUGGAUCUUCCAGCCAAGAAGUAUCCACCCACUGUCCCACGGUUUGCCCUGACAGAAGACUGCGAUAAAGAGUUAAUUUACAUCAUACAUCAAACUAUACUGUCUGUAGAUAUUAGUUACAGCAAAGCCUUCUCAAUGACAUUGCUUUAUACUUAUUAUUUAGUCAAUAUUUCAUUUAUUUGAACAACAGAUUUUGUGAGCGGAAGAAUUCUGAUGAAUUAAUCUCCACAGUACAACUUCAGUGUUAGGUCAUUGUACCAGUCUUCCCUCUUCAUACAAUGAAAGCAUCCACCAGGUAAUAGGAGUGUUUAUUACUUACCCAUAUUCCCACAACAAGAACAAAGACGAAGUAUACCACGACCACAACAAUAUCAAGAGCUUCCAAAGCAAACUUUUCAGGUAAUUCAGGCACAGAAGUCGUUGUCGCAAGACUAGGUGUUGAAG